This is a long non-coding RNA of Solanum pennellii, 1418 nucleotides long. RefSeq lists it as uncharacterized. The record is from RefSeq and is a predicted model, not a curated record. The transcript has 5 exons. Lineage: Eukaryota; Viridiplantae; Streptophyta; Magnoliopsida; Solanales; Solanaceae.
UUGAAAAGGAUGGACAUUUUUAAAGAUAAUAAAUCAAAGAGGCAACUGAAGCAUCUGAUAGCUUCAAUGUUGGUGUUCAUGGUCGAAGCUUCCUCUUCAUGGAUGAUACUAGAUCCAUCGUUGAUUAUCUCACUGUCGAUUUAAACUUUUCAUCCAAGAGUUCUAUCACGUGACUUUGGCAUCUCGAAUUGCUUCUUCUUUCAUAGAUCUAUCAUUCAAUGAAUUGAAUGCCACAACUGAGAUUGAUACCACCAUCAAAUUUUAGAUCCUUCAAAGAUAAAUUUAACUUUUUCUUAUCGAUGAUACCAGAUCUACCAUUGAAUUUCUCACUGCCGAUUUAAACUUUUCAUCCAACAGUUCUAUCAGAUCUAGCAUUGAUUAUCUCACUGCCGAUUUAAAAUUUUCAUCCAAGAGUUCUAUCAGAAAAGAAAUUACUUGUGUCAUUUGCAAGCUUCAUAUACAACUAUUCUAACUGCUAGCGGAUGAAUAGAGUUUUUCUCAUUCAGUAUCCUAACCAAAGCAGGAAAAAUUGUUUUAUGAUAACGGCAAGAAAGCUUAACAUUUUUGCAACUGAUGACAUACACUCUUGACGAUGGAAGACACACCGCAAUUCCAGAUCAUUUAUUUCAAAGAUUGUCUCUUCGUUUGUACUUAUAAAAUUAAGGAAAUGCAUUUAUGUUAGAGUUUAUUUUAUGUACAAUGUAUAAAGAAUAACAUUCACUAUCAAAUCAAGUUAACCUAUUAACAAUGUGUAAUUUUCAUACCAAGUUUGAUAUGAUAAUGUAUAAAAUAGAUUUUUUUUAAGAAAAAAAUUUAGCAACCUUUUCUUUAAAAUAAAAAAACUCAAUAGAGAUAAGUACAAGCAAAGGGAGUUGAACCUUUCCUUUCCAGUCCUAAUGAGAUAACAAACCUCUACUAACGAACAACCAUGAAGAAAAUAAAAUUUAGAGAGAAGUAGGAUUUUGUGAUUACCACAGAGUUUAUAAUACACUAUAUGAAAAUAUUACAAAUUAAGGUGCUUAAAUAAUCAAAAAUAUGGCAACCAAGAAUUAAAAGUUUGAAUUAUCGGCCUCAAACUUCCUUUGUCAAGUGCAUGAAUUAAAAAAGAGUGACUGCACAUCUAAAGUAACCUGAAGUGUUUUCCUCUUGUUUUCUUCUUCGAACUUGUCCAACUACACUUGUUAGUUCAUCAUUUCUUCAUGGAUUAUUGGAUCUUGUUAAAGCUAUUGAUACUUCCAUAUGAUGCUUCUUUGACAGUCACAUCGUAGGUGCCUUGGAACAAACUUCUUAGUCACUUUAUCGUUCCAACUGUGUUGUCUUCCAUAUGUCUAUUUUUUGCUUCUGUUCUUUCCAUUUCAAUGUUGCCUAGGCGAGAUAUACCCUUCCCUAGCCAUUGUAAGAGUUAGUGUUUCAAUUAA